RNAcentral lists this ribosomal RNA (497 nucleotides) under uncultured bacterium. RNAcentral describes it as "partial 16S ribosomal RNA". It matches the Rfam family "Bacterial small subunit ribosomal RNA", at positions 28 to 507 of the family's 1533-position model. The record is from RNAcentral.
GAUGAACGCUGGCGGCGUGCCUAAUACAUGCAAGUCGAGCGAACAGACGAGGAGCUUGCUCCUCUGACGUUAGCGGCGGACGGGUGAGUAACACGUGGAUAACCUACCUAUAAGACUGGGAUAACUUCGGGAAACCGGAGCUAAUACCGGAUAAUAUAUUGAACCGCAUGGUUCAAUAGUGAAAGACGGUUUUGCUGUCACUUAUAGAUGGAUCCGCGCCGCAUUAGCUAGUUGGUAAGGUAACGGCUUACCAAGGCGACGAUGCGUAGCCGACCUGAGAGGGUGAUCGGCCACACUGGAACUGAGACACGGUCCAGACUCCUACGGGAGGCAGCAGUAGGGAAUCUUCCGCAAUGGGCGAAAGUCUGACGGUGCAACGCCGCGUGAGUGAUGAAGGUCUUCGGAUCGUAAAACUCUGUUAUUAGGGAAGAACAAAUGUGUAAGUAACUAUGCACGUCUUGACGGUACCUAAUCAGAAAGCCACGGCUAACUACGUG